AAGUACUAAUCAUAUAAUGUGUAUAGUUUCGGCCUAUAUCAAGUCUAACAAGACAGUACUU
RNAcentral lists this transfer RNA (61 nucleotides) under Docophoroides brevis. RNAcentral's name for it is "tRNA-Arg". The record is from RNAcentral. Lineage: Eukaryota; Metazoa; Arthropoda; Insecta; Psocodea; Philopteridae.